CGGUGCCGCAGUGAGUUGGGUGGCGGUGAUUUGUUCGCGGGCGCAGGCUGGGAGGCGGGGUUCCUGACUCACUGCGGCACUGGCAGGGCUGGUGACAGCACCACCCCCGCGCCGCCUGCAAUCUGCCACCGCUGCCACCGAGCCGAGGGGCGCCAGCAAGGCAUCCCCUGGGUCAAGGGGCCUCCCGUGGGCUUUCCAAACAGCCUGUGCUCAUUUCCGCGGGAGCCCUCGGGGCGCUGUGCUGUGGCUGCAUUGUCACUGUUUGUUUAUUUCUACAUCUGCUCUGUUAGAAGAUAGGCUCGCUUAGGACAGAGCCUUCUAAUCCACCCCCUGAUGAAUUCGGGCCCUCGCCUUUGGCACAAUGCCUGGCGUCAUCACAACGCGGGUGAUCAGUAAACGGCAGCGAAGGAAGCGGGGUCAGGACUGGAGAGGAGAGGGGGAGGAAGACAGACGACCGGAGAGGAACAAAAAUGGAAGGUAACUUGAGCUUUCAUAACUGCAGAAGUGCAAAACAGCUCCCUGUGUGAUAUAGGAAGUAAAACCGUAGAGAUGGGACUUGGCUGGCCUGCCCUUCACACACUUUAGACAUUAACCCAAAGUUCAUGCUCCUGCCAUGACAGUGAUGGUGGACAGGAGGGAAGAAAAUGACAAGGAGGAAAGGAGGUGUCUUUUGCUCUUAAAAAUGAGAAGGGUCAUAAACAAUCCAUCGGCUGCAAACCACGAGUUGCCCCCAAAGCAAAGCAGGUUAGUGGCUGCUGCCGCCUCAUCAUAGCUUCAGAACCCACAGAGCCUGGAGGACUGUCAAACAUUAUCUAAUAUCCCAUUCUACAGAAGAGAAAACUGAGGUUGAGGCAGGAACGCAGACAGGAAUCAAGGUUUUGGGGUUGGGAUUUGCAAUCCAUUACUUUGCCUCCUGCAUCCACUGCUUUUCCCUGGGCAUUCUCUUCUUCCGGUUUCUUGGAAGUUAAAAUUGCGAGAGAAGCAACACAGAGUGGUUUUCCCAGGGCCUCGACCUCGGUAAGGGAAGACGUGGAAUUCCGAGUGUGGAGACCCAGACAGCCUCCGAAACCCCCACGCAACCCUGGGCGUUCAGCAGCUGCCAAUGCCCGCCUGACAAGUUUCUGGGGCAUCUCUGCACACGGAGAGGUGUGUCUCCUGCAGCUCCAAAAACAGAUUUUGCCAUCUCAUCCCCAUAUUUGCAGUCUCCAGUUGGCUUCUUGUGAUUGGCCAGAACUUUUCCUCACUGGAGAGAUGAGGAGAAUCCAGUCCUCCAACCAGCUGAGAGAAAACACUGCAGUAGCAGAGAUAGCAAUGGCUGUUCCACCCCACACUGAUACGAUGUCAGGGAGCCAGGGGUGGGCUCAACAGGCUGAAUGAUGCCAGGGACUCCCAAGGGUCUAUACAUUUAACCCUGGAGGAAGUGGCCUCUGACCAGAACAAGUAAGAAUGGACAGAGGAAUACCAUGUGCUGACUGACGAACGCCUGGGUUUCUGAACCAAUUGCCAUCAAGGGGAUUGGGAUUACCAUAAUUUUUGCUGAGACUAAGCCCCACCCCAGUAACCAAAGGCUUAUGGGUGGAAUGCAAGCUAUUGGAAGUAUUUGAAGAUGUGACCAAGGAAGCUAUGAGAAUUGGAAAUGAGGCAGUUGUUUAGAAACGGGCUGAUGUGCUUGUGGUAAGGUGGAAGGAGGAAGGCAGAUGAGGAAAGGAAUGUGCAACUGAAGCAAUUAGCUGUUACUAUGUAACGAACCAUCCCAAAACGUAGUGACAUAAAACAACAACCAUUUGUUAUUUCUCAUGCGCUUACAUUUCUACUAGGAAGUUCUGCAAAUCUGGAUUGGUCUUGGCUGAUCUUGGCAGGGCUUGUUCUGGCAUCCACUCUCAGCUGCUGAAUUAGCUCUCAGUUCCUGGUUCAGGGUGGCCUUGGCUUGGAUGACUUGGCUCUGCUCCAUGUAUCUUUCACAUCCUUCCAGCAGGCCAGCUCAAGCCUGUUCUCUAGAUUGUGGCAAGGAUCCAAGGGAAAGAGAGAAAGCCAAAAUGUUCAUGCCCUUUUUUGAGCCACUUUUUUCAAUGAGUUGGCUACUGUCUCCCUAGCUAAACACAUCUCAGCCAAGCCCAGAACCAGUAUGGAAGGUCACUAACCAAAGCUGUGGGUAAAUGGAGGCAUGGAAAUCUGUGACCUUUAAUGCAAUCAUCUACAAUAACAAGCCAAUGACCAUGAAGCUGGACAGAGAAAUAGAUUCCUGGGAGGAAGAAUAGCAAAAUGUCUGGAGUAAGAGGAAGUAGGGUAUUUCAGGGAACUCAGCAAACAGUGUGAUGACAAAAUGAAAGCACAGUCAUGCAAUCAGCACCUGGGUAAAUAUUUAGGUUGGAGUCUGUGUUGACCCAGUCUGCAGGUAACCCUCAGCCUGGCCCAGCAUUUCACUGCCCUCCUACUACUUACCCAGAAACAACUCUCCUGUAUUGAUUAAGCAGGAAAGAGGAAACUCUCCUGGAAGACACAAGGGCAGAUCCAAGCAGGAGCUAAGGUUUUCCAGAAUGUGGUCUUAGGUCUGUGAAUGGCUUUUGGACAGAGGCACAGCUGAACAUUCCCAUGGUUUCUGUGACUUUAGAAUCACUACCACCUCUUGACUAUGCACCUCUUGACUAAUUUCUAUUUCUCAAAUUAUAGAAUAAAAAAUGCUGAUUCUAAGGAUAAAAACACAACAAAUAAUCCAAAAGUAUAUAAGAUGAAAAAUAAUAGUGUGAGUUCUAUUCCAUUCUCCAGAGAGUAACAACUGCUCUCAAUUUGGGCACUUCCUUUCUGUCUUCUUCCUGCACAUGUACUUUUUGCAUAUGUCCUUUGCACGUUCUUAACCAUACUUGGGUAAUGAUGCCAACAUCACAAGCAUAACUUUCUGACAGCCCAGAAAGCCAACCUUGUCUUCUUCCUUGUUCAACCCUUGUGCCAUUUUGCCCUAACCAGAAAAAUACUCCACUUGGUAAUGAUUCUCUCUCUGUGUCUGUGAAAAAUAACAUUGGAAAGUCUAAUGUGGAAAUGUUGAACCAGGCUGGGCAUGAUGGUUCAUUCCUGUAAUCCCAGGACUUUGAAAGACCAAGGUGGAAGGAUGGCUUGAGCCCAGGAGUUCAAUACCAGCCUGGGUAACAUAGUAAGACUCCCAUCUCUACAAAAAAUUAAAAUUAACCAGGCAUGGUGGCAUAUGCCUGUAGUCCUAGCUACUCAGGAGGCUGAGGUGGGAGGAUGGCUUGAACCAGGAGGUCGAGGCAGCAAUGAGCCAUGAUUGUGCCACUGCAUUCCAGCCUGGGUGACAGAGUGACAGCCUGUCUCAAAAAAGAAAAGAAAAGAUACAAAAGAAAUAUUGAAUCAAAAAAUAUAGGUAAAAGUGAAACAAAAGGAAAUUUAAAAAUAAAUAUGUAUCAAUAGAUAAAAAAUGGUAAAAUGAACAAGAUGUGGAAAAUGUUGUAGUCUCUACAUCUGGCCUAAUAUUUAAUCUAAGAAUCUAAUGCAAAUUUCUUACAUCAUGAAUAAAUAUGGAUGAUGGGCCUACAGAUCAGAUACAUUUUAAUAAUGAGCAGACUAAGUGAGGCCUCAUACCUCUCAUCUCCAUGUGUAACCUAAUUAAUCGGGCCAUUUCAGUUGCAGAACACUCACUUCCAUAACUGUCUUCUACUUCAGAAGUGUGUGUUUCAGUUAGAAUUUGAUUUGGGUGCAGAUGCCUAUGAUAGACAAUGCAAACAGUGACUUAAAGAAAUAAAAGUUUAUAUUCCUCUCACAUAAAAAAAAUUUAAAUUUAAAUAGUGCAGGGCAGAUUUAGCACUCCACGGUGCCAAGAAUAUGAGCUUCUUUUAUUUUGUUGCUCUUGGCCUUCACUUUAUGGCUCAAAAUGGCUGCUGAAACUCCAGACAUCAAACCUGCAUUCCAGCCUGCACAGUAGAGGAAGGAAGUAAAGAAGGGUAAAGGCUCAUUUUCUAAGGAAAUUGCUCAUCAGCCUCACACAACACUUCCUCAUACACUGCAUUAGCCCAAUUUAGUCAUAUGACCACACCUAUCUGCAAGGAAAGCUGAGAAAUGUUGUUCUUGUUCUCAGGGGAGAUGUAUGUGCCCAGCUAAAAAUAAGGUGUUCUGCCACCAAAGAAGAAGAGAAAGGGGAUAUUGAAGUUCAAGUGGUAAUCUUAGACAUAUAAAGCCAUCAAAAUUAUUUCCCCCCCAAACCCUUUUGAGAAACUGAGUGCGUAAAGAUAGAUUAUGACUGGGCACGUCAAACUUGUUUUAAAUAUACAAUUGGCCAGGCACAGUGGCUCACACCUGUAAUCCCAGCACUUUGGGAGGCCAAGGCGGGUGGAUCACCUGAGGUCAGGAGUUUGAGACCAGUCCGGCCAACAUGGCGAAACCCUCUCUCUACUAAAAAUACAAAAAUUAGCCGGGCAUGGUGGCAUGCCUGUAAUUCCCAGCUACUCAGGUGGGAGGCUGAGGCAGGAGAAUCUUUUGAAACUGGGAGGCAAAGGUUACAGUGAGUUGAGAUCACACCACUGCACUCCAGCCUGGGUAACAGGGUGAGACUCUGUCUCAAAAAAAAUAAAAUUAAAAAAUGAAAUAAAAAUACAAAUAAAUAUACUAUUUUUUUCAAAGGAUAGAAGGAGCAUUGUCUACGUUAAAUAAUGCAGAAGAUUUUAACUGAUUGCAGCCCAAUUUGUUUCCAUAUCCCCAGAGGCCAUCCCAACCCAGAGGCUUUCCCAUAGAACCGUGGGGAAAGAUCUCAAUUGUCUACACUCUGGCUCUGAGAUAAGGCAGCGCUCUCUCAGCCCUUUAAAGGGGGAGAAGGAUGUUAGUUCUAUUCCUUAGGCAAGAGGGCCUCACCUGUGGCCAUUCAACCCCAGGUUCUGCAAGAGUGAGAAGCAGAAAGCCUACUUUGCGUUGCCUCUACCUGAGGAGAAGAAGCCAGGUGUGCUCUCAGAUGGUCGGGGUAGUGCUUGGGAAGAUGUCGGGAGGACCGCGUAGAAAGCUGAGAGUGAGCUUCCCUUUGCUCACUGGCUUCUCAGCCAAAAACCGCUGGAGUGGAAGAGGGACAUUAUGGGCCUGCAGCAAACUCUCUCUCAACCUUCAGUUUCCCAAUGUAUAAAAUGAGUAUGAUGAAACUUGCCUCAUAGAUUCAUUACAAGGGUUGUUUAAAAAACAUUUACCAAAGUGCCCGCUGUAUACCUCCAUUUAAUGCAUGCAAGUUCCUUUCUCUUCUUCCUUUUGGAAUAACAUAACCUGAUUGUAAGAACAUGUUUCCACAAGACAACAUGAUGAGAAAUGUUUGGCAAGAUCUAGAAUUGCAGUAUGGUAGCCACUGACCACAUGUGGCCAUUAAGCACUCCAAAUGUGUCUAUUGUAACUAGGAACUGAACUUUUAAUUUUAUUUCAUCUUAAUUCAUUUAAACUUAAAUUUAAAACCUGCUGCUUGAUUAGAGUAUUGAAAAAUAUUUAAACGUAUUUGGAACAAUUUGGGUAUGUGAAUUUCCUCUUUCAACUAUAAAUCUUACAAAAUCUAAACACAGAUCGAGUAUUCCGAAUUAAAAUUUAACAUUCAAA
RNAcentral lists this long non-coding RNA (5574 nucleotides) under Homo sapiens (human). RNAcentral's name for it is "HSALNT0264260". Lineage: Eukaryota; Metazoa; Chordata; Mammalia; Primates; Hominidae. The record is from RNAcentral.